GGGCGCUUAGCUCAGCUGGUUAGAGCGCCGCUCUGAUAAGGCGGAGGUCCCAGGUUCGAGUCCUGGAGCGCCCAUCA
RNAcentral lists this transfer RNA (77 nucleotides) under Thermoleophilum album. RNAcentral's name for it is "tRNA_Ile_GAT". It matches the Rfam family "tRNA". From Rfam's summary of the family: Transfer RNA (tRNA) molecules are approximately 80 nucleotides in length. Their secondary structure includes four short double-helical elements and three loops (D, anti-codon, and T loops). The record is from RNAcentral. Lineage: Bacteria; Bacillati; Actinomycetota; Thermoleophilia; Thermoleophilales; Thermoleophilaceae.